Molecule: ribosomal RNA, 830 nt
Filed under: uncultured archaeon
Lineage: Archaea
Description: bacterial SSU rRNA
Rfam family: Archaeal small subunit ribosomal RNA
Source: RNAcentral
AGGCCACUGCUAUCAGAGUUCGAUUAAGCCAUGCGAGUCGAGAGGUGUAAGACCUCGGCAUACUGCUCAGUAACACGUGGACAACCUACCCUAAGGAGGGGGAUAACCCCGGGAAACUGGGGAUAAUACCCCAUAGACUAUGGAUGCUGGAAUGCUUCGUAGUUCAAAGGUCCGCCGCCUUAGGAUGGGUCUGCGGCCGAUUAGGUUGUUGUUGGGGUAACGGCCCAACAAGCCUGUAAUCGGUACGGGUUGUGGGAGCAAGAGCCCGGAGAUGGAUUCUGAGACACGAAUCCAGGCCCUACGGGGCGCAGCAGGCGCGAAAACUUUACAAUGCGAGAAAUCGUGAUAAGGGAACUCUGAGUGCCCGUAAAAUCGGGCUGUCCAUCUGUUUAAAUAACAGGUGAAGAAAGGGCCGGGCAAGACCGGUGCCAGCCGCCGCGGUAAUACCGGCGGCUCGAGUGGUGGCCACUAUUACUGGGCUUAAAGCGUCCGUAGCUGGUCUGUUAAGUCUCUGGGGAAAUCUUCCGGCUCAACCGGAAGGCGUCUCAGGGAUACUGGCAGACUAGGGACCGGGAGAGGUGAGAGGUACUCCAGGGGUAGGAGUGAAAUCCUGUAAUCCUUGGGGGACCACCUGUGGCGAAGGCGUCUCACCAGAACGGCUCCGACAGUGAGGGACGAAAGCUGGGGGAGCAAACCGGAUUAGAUACCCGGGUAGUCCCAGCCGUAAACGAUGCGCGUUAGGUGUAUCGGUGACCACGAGUCACCGAGGUGCCGAAGAGAAAUCGUGGAACGCGCCGCCUGGGAAGUACGGUCGCAAGGCUGAAACUUAA